Molecule: ribosomal RNA, 433 nt
Filed under: uncultured bacterium
Lineage: Bacteria
Description: partial 16S ribosomal RNA
Rfam family: Bacterial small subunit ribosomal RNA
Source: RNAcentral
GACGAACGCUGGCGGCGUGCUUAACACAUGCAAGUCGAACGAGACCUUCGGGUCUAGUGGCGCACGGGUGCGUAACGCGUGGGAACCUGCCCUUAGGUUCGGAAUAACUCCCCGAAAGGGGUGCUAAUACCAGAUAAUGUCUUCGGACCAAAGAUUUAUCGCCUUUGGAUGGGCCCGCGUUGGAUUAGCUAGUUGGUAGGGUAAAAGCCUACCAAGGCGACGAUCCAUAGCUGGUCUGAGAGGAUGAUCAGCCACACUGGGACUGAGACACGGCCCAGACUCCUACGGGAGGCAGCAGUGGGGAAUAUUGGACAAUGGGCGAAAGCCUGAUCCAGCAAUGCCGCGUGAGUGAUGAAGGCCUUAGGGUUGUAAAGCUCUUUUACCCGGGAUGAUAAUGACAGUACCGGGAGAAUAAGCUCCGGCUAACUCCGUG